AUGGACACUCCGUCGACCACGCCCUCUACCGGCAGCAAACGCAAAAGCGCAACUUGAAAUAUUUAUUGCACUUAACGAGCGACAGGGUCGAACUGAGGGUUAGAGGGAUGCAUGCAUGGGAAAGCAGAUUUCACUUUUUCGGUGGCCAACUAGAGGAAAAUGCGGGAAAAUGUGAAAUCCUAUGGCAAGGAAAAGCGAGCGUGGCAUGUCGAAUGUAACCAUCAACUGACUGCGAUUGUCUGCUCACGUGCUUAUCUGAAACUCGCUUUUCCAACCCCUGCACCCCUUCAUCCCAUUUCCCCCACAGCACUCCCUUCUCCGCUUUUCCAGGGGGCUUGGGGGCCUCUGUGGGUUAACGUCUAGUGCAUUGUUACGUGCCAAAGUUUUAGUGGCUAAAAUAACGGAGCAACGCCUGAAGAAGUGCCCUACACUCAUUCUAUUUUUGCGGUCGAUUAAACAGUUCGAUCUGCGAAUGUUUUAUCUAACUUGGCAUAUGUUUGACAAGCUAUCUGUAUCUGCUUCCAAAGCUCUUAACUUGGCUUCAAGCGUUUCACAAAGUUCCAGUGAAGUAGAAUUCGUAAUGCCUUGGACGAAGAAUAUUCAGGGCAUAUUAAACUAAAACUUUGUAAUAUUUCGAGAAUGGCAUGUACCUUUGAUAUAUGUUAUAUGUUUUUAGUGUGCGAGUUUGACAGCAUAAAGUACAGCAUAAUACGCAGAAAACUAAAGGUGAAGUUUUGGCAUUGAAAAGUUUUUAAGCUACUAUCGGGUGUUAUGCACAAUAAUCUUAAAUAACUAAGCUUAAGGCAGUAUCUAAACAUUUCUGUCAUUUUAGUUUCGUGUUAUUCGGUACUUUGAAAAGUCUGCUUUUUUAGAGCUGUCUACUCUUAUUACAAAAUUAGUUUAAAAAUGUUUAUUUCUUGUUUUUUUUCGCACUGAAGACUCCGCAUUGUCUACUGAGACAAGGACUUCUAUACUUUCCUCUUACCAAAUCACCUUUGCCACAGCACAAACAUUUCCCAACCAUUGCGCAAAAAAUAGAUGCGGUGUACACUCGAAAAAGUUUUAAUAAAAACAGAAAAUAAAGGUAAAGAAGAGGGGAAUAAUGUGUUUUUUCAAGAAUAUUAAUACGUACUGAAAACAAAAAAAGAAAUUCUUUUUGUCCAUGUGAGGAAACAGAACUUUUGCAAAGAGAGAAAGGAGAAAAGCUGGCCCACUGCAUUGCAAUCCAUUGUUCUUUCGGCAGCUACCACAAAAGUAUGCAACGCUGUUUGUAAUGUUUAGUUUUAGUAGGACACCAACACCAACACCAGCAUCAAUAGCAAAAGAAACAGAAACUUUGUUUAGUUCGCUUCCCCAGUAAUAAUAGGAUAUACUCGUAUACGCGGUACUCACAU
Molecule: long non-coding RNA, 1394 nt
Organism: Drosophila yakuba
Lineage: Eukaryota; Metazoa; Arthropoda; Insecta; Diptera; Drosophilidae
Exons: 3
Source: RefSeq, a predicted model, not a curated record